CACUCGGCUCUUUUUAGAGCCACCAUACCUCAUAGCAGUAGUAG
Operophtera brumata (winter moth) is the source of this 44-nucleotide non-coding RNA. The record is from Rfam. NCBI's taxonomy places the organism in Eukaryota, Metazoa, Arthropoda, Insecta, Lepidoptera, Geometridae.